AUGACGUCAAAUCAUCAUGCCCUUUAUGACCUGGGCUACAAACGUACUACAAUGGCCAGAUACAAAGAGAUGCGAAGCCGCGAGGUGGAGCGAACCUCAUAAAAAUGGUCUCAGUUCGGAUUGGAGUCUGCAACUCGACUCCAUGAAGUCGGAAUCGCUAGUAAUCGCGGGUCAGCAGACCGCGGUGAAUACGUUCCCGGGUUUU
RNAcentral lists this ribosomal RNA (205 nucleotides) under uncultured Bacillota bacterium. Its description in RNAcentral is "uncultured Firmicutes bacterium partial 16S ribosomal RNA". It matches the Rfam family "Bacterial small subunit ribosomal RNA", at positions 1179 to 1382 of the family's 1533-position model. The record is from RNAcentral. Lineage: Bacteria; Bacillati; Bacillota.